This 429-nucleotide ribosomal RNA is filed under the name Verrucomicrobiota bacterium. RNAcentral describes it as "Verrucomicrobia bacterium partial 16S ribosomal RNA". It matches the Rfam family "Bacterial small subunit ribosomal RNA", at positions 355 to 776 of the family's 1533-position model. The record is from RNAcentral. Lineage: Bacteria; Pseudomonadati; Verrucomicrobiota.
UAGGGAAUCUUCCGCAAUGGACGAAAGUCUGACGGAGCAACGCCGCGUGAGUGAAGAAGGAUUUCGGUUCGUAAAACUCUGUUGUUAGGGAAGAAAAAAUGUAUAGUAACUAUAUACAAAAGAGACGGUACCUAACCAGAAAGCCACGGCUAACUACGUGCCAGCAGCCGCGGUAAUACGUAGGUGGCAAGCGUUGUCCGGAAUUAUUGGGCGUAAAGCGCGCGCAGGUGGUUUAGAAAGUCUGAUGUGAAAGCCCACGGCUCAACCGUGGAGGGUCAUUGGAAACUAAUAAACUUGAGUGCAGGAGAGGAUAGUGGAAUUCCUAGUGUAGCGGUGAAAUGCGUAGAGAUUAGGAGGAACACCGGUGGCGAAAGCGGCUUUUUGGCCUGCAACUGACACUGAGGCGCGAAAGCGUGGGGAGCAAACAGG